AGAACGAACGCUGGCGGCGCGUUUAAGCAUGCAAGUCGAGCGGCAAGGGCCUUCGGGCCCCUAGAGCGGCGGACGGGUGAGUAACACGUGGACAAUCUGCCCCCCGGCCCGGGAUAGCCCAGGGAAACCUGGAUUAAUACCGGAUGAGACGGGACCCGCGAUGGCGGGAUCCGGGAAAGGCGCUGCGGCGCCGCCGGGGGAUGAGUCUGCGUCCCAUUAGCUAGACGGCGGGGUAAUGGCCCACCGUGGCGACGAUGGGUAGCCGGCCUGAGAGGGUGGACGGCCACAUUGGAACUGAGACACGGUCCAGACUCCUACGGGAGGCAGCAGCUAAGAAUCUUCCGCAAUGGGCGAAAGCCUGACGGAGCGACGCCCGCGUGAACGAAGAAGGCCGUGAGGUUGUAAAGUUCUUUUCGGGAGGGGGAACAACCGUGGCAGGGAAUGGCCGCGGGAUGACGUGAAUCCCGGAAUAGGCCCCGGCUAACUACGUGCCAGCAGCGGC
Molecule: ribosomal RNA, 502 nt
Filed under: uncultured bacterium
Lineage: Bacteria
Description: bacterial SSU rRNA
Rfam family: Bacterial small subunit ribosomal RNA
Source: RNAcentral